CAGGAAACGAGCACCCUCCCUGGCUGUCUUGACUGGGCACAGUGCCCUCUCCAGAUGGGACUGGAAGUUCCCUCCCCAGCCUGGCCCUCUCCUCCAGCUGCCCCCAUCUCACCCCAGUGCGCCCUGCAGUCCCCCCGGAUGCUGGACAGAGAGGCUGCAAAUGAUGCUCAGGUGCCUGGGAGCCGGGAGGAGGGUGACAGGGAGAAGGGAGAAGGUGGUGGUACAGGUCAUGUGCAAAGCCCAGCCACGACCCCUGUCACUUCGCCUUUUUUCUUUUUUUGUAAGAAGGGAUGUUUGUUCCUGAGCCGGGCCGGGGGAGGGGGCGCCCGCCUCCUCCUCGCCAGCUGUAAGCACAUCAGCUGCCGCGGGCACAAUAGAAGCUGCUCCCCCGCGUGCCCCCCUCCCCCAGAGCCCGGCCCCAGGCCGCCAGCCGGCCUCGCAAGCCAACGGGGCUCAGCCUGCCACCCCGCUUUGCAGCAGAGCCGCGCUCCAGCGUGCCAGCGCGCAGACCAGCAGCUGCAAAUGGAUCAUUAGCCUCAAAUGGAGCCUGCAGAGAAGGGGGCAGCGGGCGGGCAGCCUUGGCAGCUGCGGGCGCUCUUCCCCGCCUGCACCCCGGAGGGUCACGGGGGGGUACGUUUCCCCCCUCACCGCCCCUGCCCGGCCUGGCUGAUCACACCCCGCGACGGUGCUAGUUCAGCCAGACCAAAUCACAGAUGGCCUGAAAACCAAUCUCGCCUAUUUUCUUUUUACCAUUAAAAUAUGCCUACUCGGAGCUGCUGUUGUGGCUCAGCGGUUAACAAACCCGACUAGCAUCCAUGAGGAUGCAGGUUUGAUCCCUGGCCUCGCUCGGUGGGUUAAGGAUCUGGCAUGGCCAUGAGCUGCAGUGUAGGUCGCAGACGCAGCUCGGAUCCCGUGUGGCUGUGGCUCUGGUGUAGGCCGGCGGCUACAGCUCCCAUCGGACCCCUAGCCUGGGAACCUCCAUAUGCCGCGGGGGCGGCCCUAAAAGACAAGAGGACAAAAAAAAAAAAAAAAAAGUGGCUAUUUGACAACGGAACAUGACACGCGUGGCUGGCCUUCGAUUCCUCUGGGCAGGGGAUAGAGCGUCUUGGAUCAGCAUCCUCUGCUUCGAAACGCAGAUUCCCAGGCCCCACCCAGGCUUGCAGAACCAGAGCCUCAUUCCCAGGCCAGCUGUGGCGCCCCGCAACCGCUCUGUGCUUGUGACAGGCCCCACAGUGACUCCGGCCUCCCGCCCGGGUACCUGCUCUUCUGGGCUCCUGCAAACCCCGAUCAGCAGGCCCCAGCUGGGGGUACCCCCCAUGGGUCACGGAAGCAGAAAAGAGAAUCUUGGAGGCAGAACGUCCUUGGUCCCCCAAAGGGGCUUCUGGCCAAAACCUCUCUCGUUUAGACCUAAUGGAGGGAGACGGUCCGGCUUGCAGAGUUGAAGAACGGUUGACCAAGCGCCUUGCACAGGCAGAGCAUGUAAAGUAGCUCUAGUCCAUUCUCUCUGGACAGACGUGGCAACACAGAGUGAGCGUGCCUCUUGAGGUUUUUGUGGGGCUACUUUUACCAGAUAGGAACAACUUCCCAGGAAGGACUGGUUACCGUGGGUCAGUGGACAGUCCCUUUCAAAGUCCCUGGGGUAUUUUGCUCUCAAGCCUUUUAAAGUAAGUCCCCGAGUCCCUGUCUGCCAUCAGCAUCAAAGUCCAGGGCUUAAAAUGCCUGCUGAUACACAAGCAGGGCUUUCCAGGCUGGGGAAGCUGAGAGGCUGGGUUUUUUUUUUUUUUUUUUUUUGGUCUUUUUGCCUUUUCCCGUGGCACAUGGAGGCUCCCAGGCUAGGGGUCCAAUCGGAGAUGUAGCCACCGGCCUACUCCAGAGCCACAGCAAGGCGGGAUCUGAACCGCAUGUGCAACCUACACCACCAGCUCACGGCAAUGCUGGAUCCUUAACCCACCGAGCGAGGCCAGGGAUCGAACCUGCAACCUCAUGGUUCCCAGUCAGAUUCGUCAACCACUGCGCCAUGACGGGAACUCCCUGAGAGGCUGUCUUGACACCCUGCCUAGUGUCUAAAGAAGCAAAAGAUGCCCUCAGUCACGGCUGCCCCCGAAGGUUCUGGAGGCUGGAGACGGGGUUCAGGGGUGGUGGGAUCAGUCCCCCCCUCCCCCCGCCCCCGGCACUCGCAUCACCAGUGAGAUGUCAGGUGUUCACAGGGAGGCCUUCGGAGCAGAAGGCUGCUUCGGACAUGCCCUUUGAAUGAAGAGAAGAAGGGGCCCUUGACUCCAGUUCAAAUGUGAAGAAACCAAAACUCAAGGCACUGACUUGAAGCCUCCCCGAGGUUUGGGUCUAAAUCUCUCCUGCACACCUGCUCCUGCCCCAGAGGGACCUGUCGGUGUUGGUAGAGGAAGUGGCACCAAGAACCCCGCCAGACACUUCGACGCAGCCGCACCCCAAUUUCCCAAACUCCCAGGAAGCGCUGAGCAGUGAAGGGGGGACCCCACCUACAG
Molecule: long non-coding RNA, 2501 nt
Filed under: Sus scrofa (pig)
Lineage: Eukaryota; Metazoa; Chordata; Mammalia; Artiodactyla; Suidae
Description: lncRNA (ENSSSCG00005020409.1)
Source: RNAcentral